Molecule: ribosomal RNA, 496 nt
Filed under: uncultured bacterium
Lineage: Bacteria
Description: partial 16S ribosomal RNA
Rfam family: Bacterial small subunit ribosomal RNA
Source: RNAcentral
AUGAACGCUGGCGGCGUGCCUAAUACAUGCAAGUCGAGCGAACGGACGAGAAGCUUGCUUCUCUGAUGUUAGCGGCGGACGGGUGAGUAACACGUGGAUAACCUACCUAUAAGACUGGGAUAACUUCGGGAAACCGGAGCUAAUACCGGAUAAUAUUUUGAACCGCAUGGUUCAAAAGUGAAAGACGGUCUUGCUGUCACUUAUAGAUGGAUCCGCGCUGCAUUAGCUAGUUGGUAAGGUAACGGCUUACCAAGGCAACGAUGCAUAGCCGACCUGAGAGGGUGAACGGCCACCCGGGAACUGAAACACGGUCCAGACUCCUACGGGAGGCAGCAGUAGGGAAUCUUGCGCAAUGGGCGAAAGCCUGACGGAGCAACGCCGCGUGAGUGAUGAAGGUCUUCGGAUCGUAAAACUCUGUUAUUAGGGAAGAACAUAUGUGUAAGUAACUGUGCACAUCUUGACAGUACCUAAUCAGAAAGCCACGGCUAACUACGUG